This 649-nucleotide ribosomal RNA is filed under the name Sphingopyxis sp. ILI-S4-I10. RNAcentral's name for it is "bacterial SSU rRNA". It matches the Rfam family "Bacterial small subunit ribosomal RNA", at positions 57 to 752 of the family's 1533-position model. The record is from RNAcentral. Lineage: Bacteria; Pseudomonadati; Pseudomonadota; Alphaproteobacteria; Sphingomonadales; Sphingopyxidaceae.
GCAAGUCGAACGAGAUCUUCGGAUCUAGUGGCGCACGGGUGCGUAACGCGUGGGAAUCUGCCCUUGGGUACGGAAUAACUCAGAGAAAUUUGUGCUAAUACCGUAUAAUGUCUUCGGACCAAAGAUUUAUCGCCCAAGGAUGAGCCCGCGUAGGAUUAGCUAGUUGGUGAGGUAAAAGCUCACCAAGGCGACGAUCCUUAGCUGGUCUGAGAGGAUGAUCAGCCACACUGGGACUGAGACACGGCCCAGACUCCUACGGGAGGCAGCAGUGGGGAAUAUUGGACAAUGGGCGAAAGCCUGAUCCAGCAAUGCCGCGUGAGUGAUGAAGGCCCUAGGGUUGUAAAGCUCUUUUACCCGGGAUGAUAAUGACAGUACCGGGAGAAUAAGCUCCGGCUAACUUCGUGCCAGCAGCCGCGGUAAUACGAGGGGAGCUAGCGUUGUUCGGAAUUACUGGGCGUAAAGCGCGCGUAGGCGGUUUUUUAAGUCAGAGGUGAAAGCCCGGGGCUCAACCCCGGAAUUGCCUUUGAAACUGGAAAACUAGAAUCUUGGAGAGGUCAGUGGAAUUCCGAGUGUAGAGGUGAAAUUCGUAGAUAUUCGGAAGAACACCAGUGGCGAAGGCGACUGACUGGACAAGUAUUGACGCUGAGGU